RNAcentral lists this ribosomal RNA (454 nucleotides) under uncultured Serratia sp. RNAcentral's name for it is "partial 16S ribosomal RNA". Lineage: Bacteria; Pseudomonadati; Pseudomonadota; Gammaproteobacteria; Enterobacterales; Yersiniaceae. The record is from RNAcentral.
CACGGAGUUAGCCGGUGCUUCUUCUGCGAGUAACGUCAAUGCAAUGUGCUAUUAACACACUGCCCUUCCUCCUCGCUGAAAGUGCUUUACAACCCGAAGGCCUUCUUCACACACGCGGCAUGGCUGCAUCAGGCUUGCGCCCACUUGUGCAAUAUUCCCCACUGCUGCCUCCCGUAGGAGUCUGGACCGUGUCUCAGUUCCAGUGUGGCUGGUCAUCCUCUCAGACCAGCUAGGGAUCGUCGCCUAGGUGAGCCAUUACCCCACCUACUAGCUAAUCCCAUCUGGGCACAUCUGAUGGCGUGACGGCCCCGAAGGUCCCCCACGUUUCGGUCCCGAAGGACCGUUAUGCGGUAUUAGCUUACCGUUUCAGUAGUUACUCCCCCUCAUCAGGCACGUUCCCAGACAUUACCUCACCCGUCCGCCGCUCGUCACCCAGACGAGCAAGCUCUCCUGU